AGGGACCCCCACCCACCUGGGCGCGCAGGGAGAAGGUCUUCCGGAGCAGCCUGCCAGGGAGGACUUCAGAGACAUCAUAGAGAACCUUGAACCAGGCGUCAUCCUGCGUGACUGUGUCCUCAUCAUAGAGGGUGUGGUUGGCAUCUGUAGGACCACAUAGGGGUCUGCCUCGCUCACUGCCAACAUCAAGGGAGCCGUUGUGAGACAGAAUUCCUCACAUCACUCUCCAGGAGCCUCACCAGGUUCCUCCCAAGAUCCCUGCAGCCACUCUGGGCAGCCCAGCCCAAUCCAGCCUCUAGGCACUUGCCUGGGUCUUUCCCUUAGGACCCAGUCAACCCCACCUCCCUAGAGCCCAGUUCACAGUUACUCACACAGGUCAGCCCAGCCCAGGCCCCGUGCCUCCAGGACCUUCACGGUGAGCCGCCAGCAGGUAGAGGCCUCCCU
Long non-coding RNA from Bubalus bubalis (water buffalo), 444 nucleotides. RefSeq lists it as uncharacterized. The transcript is spliced from 2 exons. NCBI's taxonomy places the organism in Eukaryota, Metazoa, Chordata, Mammalia, Artiodactyla, Bovidae. The record is from RefSeq and is a predicted model, not a curated record.